CAGCCACAGCAACAGAUCCAAGCCACGUCUGCGACUUCUACCACAGCUAUUGGCAACACCAGAUCUUUAACCCUCUGAGCGAGGCCAAGGAUCGAACCCGCAACCUCAUGGUUACUAGUUCGAUUUGUUUUGGCUGCACCGCAACGGGCACUCGCUCCUUUUGGGUUUUUAGGAAGGCUUCAUUACACAGGCAUGACUGAUUAACUCAUUGGCUAUUGGUAAUUGAUUCAAGCUCUACUGCUCUCGGUUGGAUGGGACUGAAAGUUCUGACCCUCUAGUCCCAUGGUUGCUUGGGGCCCCUGGCGAGGUGAGGUACCAGACUUACCUCAUCAACAUGACCAAAGACAUCUUUAUUGCUAUCAAUUAGGAAAUUCCAAGGGCUUUAGGAGCUCUGUGCCAGAAAAAGUGACAAAGAGCUAAUAUAGUUUUUUCCUUAUGAAGCACAUUACAACUUGCCUCCCAGUUCUCCCUCUUUCUAGCUCUGUGACCUUAGGAAGUCAUUUCAUCUUUCUGUGCUUCAGGCUCUCAUCUAUCAGUGAGGCCAGUAAGAGUACCUACUUCACAGGCACAGGAUGAAACAAGUUGAUUCCUGUAAAAUCCUUCAAAUGGUCUAGCAUUUAGUGCUGGAUCUCUGUUGACACCUGCCACAUUAAGGGAGCCUACCAAGGAUUCCUAAGAAGCUGUGUAUAAAUUUAGGUUAAAUACCAGAGAGAAGGGAAGCUGAUGGCUUCUCUAAGGAAAAAAGAGCUUUCAAACAUUGGUGUGACAUGAGUUCCCGUCGUGGCGCAGCGGAAACGAAUCCGACUAGGAACCAUGAGGUUGCGGUUUGAUCCCUGGCCUUGAUCAAUGGGUUAAGGAUCUGGCAUUGCCGUGGGCUGUGGUGUAGGUUGCAGACGCAGCUCAGAUCUGGUAUUGCUGUGGCUCUGGCGUAGGCCAACAGCUGUAGCUCUGAUAAGACCCCUAGCCUGGGAACCUCCAUAUGCCACAGGUGCAGCCCUAAAAAAAAAAAAAUUGGGUGUGACAUGAAGAGGGAAAAGCUUUCCAGGCCUGAUUGCUAAAAUGGGGGCAGGGCUCAUGGCUCCCACAGACUAGAGUGUGGGGUACAUCUUGCACUUGUCCUGCAAAGAGGCGGAAAGCAAGGAGGGGGCACUGAGAAAGAUUUUUAAUUCUGCUUUGAGUUUCCUUUUUUGGUAUAAUGGGUUAUUGGAAAAGUUACAUUUGCUCUUGGUAGUGAUUUCAUUACAUCUAAAACCCAGGGAAGACACGGCUAUACAGGGGCAGGGACGUGGGCUUGAACCCAAGUGUCCAUUUGAAGGCACUGCCUGACCCUAGGAGGGUUGUACCUGCCCCUCACCACGUAUGGGCAUGGAGCAUCAUGUCACAUGCACAGGGAGGACCUUUGGAGAAGCUUAGACAUGAAUGCCCCUCCAUCAACUCUCUCCCACCUCCACUCUCCUAGCUGGUAUCAGCGGCAGCCUCUGGUUUUGAACACAAAGGACAUUUGUUGCAUGCAAUCAUUGUCUAAAGCUGGCCUUUUUCUAUUAUGAAUGAUCAUGAAAUUGAGGGUGAAGGAGAAAGGCAACUCCACAUUUGAAGCUACAAAAAGGCCGUGAUUCAUUUCCAGUCUCUUUAUUAAGCAGCCUAGUCUCAGAUAAUUUGCAGCAAAGUUUUACCCUGGAGCAAGUUUCCUCAGUCAUGUUAAAUUCAUGGGGAAAAUCCUCCCGGGAUUUAGAACUGAAAAAUAGACGGCUUUAAUAACAGAAACGUUGGUGUAAAGAGCAGAGAGAGGCAGUAUGUUCUAACCAUUUAGGGAAAAAAUGGGUAAGAUGUUACUAAUAAGCUCUGCUAUAUUUUUAUCCUACCGUUUUCAUCAUCUGAAGGAAUACUGAGAUGAGCUUUUAAAGUCUGAAUGAUUAUCUGACAGCUUCCAUCUUUAGGGCAAAUUAUUAGCAAGGGUUUUAUUUUGCUAUUACCUUUAGUCAAAACUCAGAGGACAUACGCUUAUCAGAGCUCAGAGAGGGAAUCAAAUCUACAGACAAGAGUGCUUUGAACGGAACUGCAGAACCCAGCUACUUCUAGUCUUUCUAGGUGACCUCUGUGGACACUGUCUUUCUUAUGGAGUGAGGCUGGGGUAGGGAUUAAUAGGGUCCAUAGCGCUCUCCUCAACGUGGUCCCCACCUAACUUUCAGCUCCAUCACUUGCCAUCCCCCACAACCCAUCCAGGCACACACCCUGUAUUCCCAUUAUGCCAAACUGCCCACUGGUCCCAAAUAUGUGGCAUCACCUAUCUAGGUUUCAGCUCAUCUUUCAAGACUCAUUUCUAGAAUGAGUUUCUUCCAGAAAUCUUUCCAACUGUGGACAAAGUUAGUGGCAUCUUAUUCUGCUCUCCCAUAGGGCCUCGUGCCUGCUUCACUAGGGAGCUUAAUCAACUGCAAGGAUUAGUUUACAAUGUCAGUUUCCCCAGUGACCUUGAAGGGGCAAGGAUUUUUAUCCGGGAUAUCUGUACCCUCUAGUUCAGUGUUUCUCAACAGCAGCACUACUGACAUUUGGGGCCAGAAAAUUUCUUUCUUUUUU
Molecule: long non-coding RNA, 2574 nt
Filed under: Sus scrofa (pig)
Lineage: Eukaryota; Metazoa; Chordata; Mammalia; Artiodactyla; Suidae
Description: lncRNA (ENSSSCG00050031904.1)
Source: RNAcentral